GGAUCAUCAGGUUGGUCGUGCCUCUGGUAUGUACUUUCUUCGAUGGUUCCUCCUUCUUGAAGAUCCGUAAUGUCAUUAAUUUGGUGUUGCGGGGAAUCAGGACUGUUACUUUGAAAAAAUUAGAGUGUUUAAAGCAGGCACACGCUUGAAUACAUUAGCAUGGAAUAAUGAAAUAGGACGUUUGACCCUAUUUUGUUGGUUUCUAGGGUUGACGUA
Molecule: ribosomal RNA, 216 nt
Filed under: uncultured fungus
Lineage: Eukaryota; Fungi
Description: partial small subunit ribosomal RNA
Rfam family: Eukaryotic small subunit ribosomal RNA (bases 28-216)
Source: RNAcentral